CCUACGGGAGGCUGCAGUGGGGAAUAUUGGACAAUGGGGGCAACCCUGAUCCAGCCAUGCCGCGUGUGUGAAGAAGGCCCUCGGGUUGUAAAGCACUUUCAGUGAGGAAGAACGCCUGGUGGUUAAUACCCAUCAGGAAAGACAUCACUCACAGAAGAAGCACCGGCUAACUCCGUGCCAGCAGCCGCGGUAAUACGGAGGGUGCGAGCGUUAAUCGGAAUUACUGGGCGUAAAGCGCGCGUAGGUGGCUUGAUAAGCCGGUUGUGAAAGCGCCGGGCUCAACCUGGGAACGGCAUCCGGAACUGUCAAGCUAGAGUGCAGGAGAGGAAAGUAGAAUUCCCGGUGUAGCGGUGAAAUGCGUAGAGAUCGGGAGGAAUACCAGUGGCGAAGGCGGCCUUCUGGACUGACACUGACACUGAGGUGCGAAAGCGUGGGUAGCAAACAGGAUUAGAUACCCCGGUAGUC
RNAcentral lists this ribosomal RNA (465 nucleotides) under Vreelandella stevensii. RNAcentral's name for it is "partial 16S ribosomal RNA". It matches the Rfam family "Bacterial small subunit ribosomal RNA", at positions 338 to 795 of the family's 1533-position model. The record is from RNAcentral. Lineage: Bacteria; Pseudomonadati; Pseudomonadota; Gammaproteobacteria; Oceanospirillales; Halomonadaceae.